Molecule: ribosomal RNA, 449 nt
Filed under: uncultured Anaerolineaceae bacterium
Lineage: Bacteria; Bacillati; Chloroflexota; Anaerolineae; Anaerolineales; Anaerolineaceae
Description: bacterial SSU rRNA
Rfam family: Bacterial small subunit ribosomal RNA
Source: RNAcentral
UCCCCGCACAAGCAGCGGAGCGUGUGGUUUAAUUCGUUGCUACACGAAGAACCUUACCUGGGUUUGACAUAGCAGUAGUAGGGAUCCGAAAGGUGACCGACCUUCGGGGAGCCUUCACAGGUGCUGCAUGGCUGUCGUCAGCUCGUGUCGUGAGAUGUCCGGUUAAGUCCGGUAACGAGCGCAACCCUCGCUGUGUGUUAUAUGUGUCACACGGGACUGCCGGUAUCAAGCCGGAGGAAGGUGGGGAUGACGUCAAGUCAGCAUGGCCUUUAUGUCUGGGGCUACACACACGCUACAAUGGCCAGUACAAUAGGUUGCAAGACCGCGAGGUGGAGCCAAUCCUUAAAGCUGGUCUCAGUUCGGAUUGCAGGCUGCAACUCGACUGCGUGAAGUUGGAAUCGCUAGUAAUCGUAGAUCAGCAUGCUACGGUGAAUACGUUCCCGGGCCUU